RNAcentral lists this ribosomal RNA (362 nucleotides) under uncultured bacterium. RNAcentral's name for it is "bacterial SSU rRNA". It matches the Rfam family "Bacterial small subunit ribosomal RNA", at positions 8 to 353 of the family's 1533-position model. The record is from RNAcentral.
AGAGUUUGAUCAUGGCUCAGGAUGAACGCUAGCUACAGGCUUAACACAUGCAAGGUACGAGGGGAAACGAUAUUGGAAGCUUUGCUUCCGGAUAGGCGUCGACCGGCGUACGGGUGAGUAACGCGUAUCCAACCUGCCCACCACGUUGGGGAUAACCUUGACGAAAGUAAGACUAAUACCCAAUGACGUCUCUAGAAGACAUCUGAAAGAGAUUAAAGAUUUAUCGGUGAUGGAUGGGGAUGCGUCUGAUUAGCUUGUUGGCGGGGUAACGGCCCACCAAGGCGACGAUCAGUAGGGGUUCUGAGAGGAAGGCCCCCCACAUUGGAACUGAGACACGGUCCAAACUCCUACGGGAGGCAGCA